UACGAAGGGGGCUAGCGUUGCUCGGAAUCACUGGGGCGUAAAGGGGUGCGUAGGCGGGGUUCUUUAAGUCAGGGGUGAAAUCCUGGAGCUCAACUCCAGAACUGCCUUUUGAUACUGAGGAUCUUGAGUACGGGAGAGGUGAGUGGAACUGCGAGUGUAGAGGUGAAAUUCGUAGAUAUCGCAAGAACACCAGUGGCGAAGGCGGACUCACUGGCCCGUUAC
This 222-nucleotide ribosomal RNA is filed under the name uncultured bacterium. Its description in RNAcentral is "partial 16S ribosomal RNA". It matches the Rfam family "Bacterial small subunit ribosomal RNA", at positions 524 to 740 of the family's 1533-position model. The record is from RNAcentral.